AAAUAAAUAGUAUUGUGCCUUCAUAUAAGUCUGGUAAUAUGGUCCAGAUGUUUCUACUAAGUUACCCUAAAUAACUUAUCUAUGACGGUGGGUCCCACUAUA
Molecule: regulatory RNA element, 102 nt
Organism: Solibacillus silvestris StLB046
Lineage: Bacteria; Bacillati; Bacillota; Bacilli; Caryophanales; Caryophanaceae
Rfam family: Purine riboswitch aptamer
About the family: Riboswitches are metabolite binding domains within certain messenger RNAs that serve as precision sensors for their corresponding targets. Allosteric rearrangement of mRNA structure is mediated by ligand binding, and this results in modulation of gene expression.
Source: Rfam